CGUGUAGGCGGAGAAGCAAGUCAGAAGUGAAAUCCAUGGGCUUAACCCAUGAACUGCUUUUGAAACUGUUUCCCUUGAGUAUCGGAGAGGCAGGCGGAAUUCCUAGUGUAGCGGUGAAAUGCGUAGAUAUUAGGAGGAACACCAGUGGCGAAGGCGGCCUGCUGGACGACAACUGACGCUGAGGCGCGAAAGCGUGGGAGCAAACA
This 206-nucleotide ribosomal RNA is filed under the name uncultured bacterium. Its description in RNAcentral is "partial 16S ribosomal RNA". It matches the Rfam family "Bacterial small subunit ribosomal RNA", at positions 568 to 774 of the family's 1533-position model. The record is from RNAcentral.